UUUAUGUUGUAUCACCUAUAUGAGGAUAUCUACUAACUUCAGAUGCAUAUAUAAUGUAUUUGAUGACACACGGCAAACUACAGUAAGCAGUGUGUUGGGCUUGCAAGAUUACAGACACCGGUCUCUGUUUCCCUUUGCCGACGGAGUCUAUCGACAAGAGCGAUGGAUCUGGAGAUUGAUCAAGAGGUACCCACCCCUGCCUCUUGUCUUCGAUUGUUUUUUUUCUUUUGCUGUUGCUUACUUUCCUGCUUUCUUAUCGUAGGUUACCCCCCACCGGCGCCACCUUUUGUCGACC
RNAcentral lists this long non-coding RNA (295 nucleotides) under Triticum aestivum (bread wheat). RNAcentral describes it as "long non-coding RNA (TAES_LNC006178)". Lineage: Eukaryota; Viridiplantae; Streptophyta; Magnoliopsida; Poales; Poaceae. The record is from RNAcentral.